UAGGGAAUAUUGCUCAAUGGGCGAAAGCCUGAAGCAGCAACGCCGCGUGUGCGAUGAAGGCCUUCGGGUCGUAAAGCACUUUUCUGAGAGAUGAGAAAGGACAGUAUCUCAGGAAUAAGUCUCGGCUAACUACGUGCCAGCAGCCGCGGUAAAACGUAGGAGGCAAGCGUUAUCCGGAUUCACUGGGCGUAAAGCGCGUGCAGGCGGUUCGGUAAGUUGGGCGUGAAAUCUCCUGGCUUAACUAGGAGAGGUCGUUCAAUACUACCGGACUUGAGAGUGGUAGAGGAAGAUGGAAUUCCCGGUGUAGUGGUGAAAUGCGUAGAUAUCGGGAGGAACACCAGUGGCGAAAGCGAUCUUCUGGACCAUUUCUGACGCUCAGACGCGAAAGCUAGGGUAGUAAACGG
RNAcentral lists this ribosomal RNA (404 nucleotides) under uncultured bacterium. RNAcentral's name for it is "bacterial SSU rRNA". It matches the Rfam family "Bacterial small subunit ribosomal RNA", at positions 355 to 775 of the family's 1533-position model. The record is from RNAcentral.